Long non-coding RNA from Mizuhopecten yessoensis (Yesso scallop), 342 nucleotides. RefSeq lists it as uncharacterized. The record is from RefSeq and is a predicted model, not a curated record. NCBI's taxonomy places the organism in Eukaryota, Metazoa, Mollusca, Bivalvia, Pectinida, Pectinidae. The transcript has 3 exons.
UUUCGAAAUAGCCUGGAUACUCGGCGUAGACGAUGCAGCUGAUGGCUUUGGAUAGUGUACUUCCAAAUGCGACUUCCAGUCUGACGUUUCCUUGUUUUAAUAAGGAAUGUACUGAGGAGUGUCAAGUGUUUGGCUCCAGUUUGCAACUUUUUGAGCUUUCACCAUUCGAAGUAGAUUCUGCUUCUCACCAUCAAUUACGGAUUCUCCAACGAGAUCGCAAUGUUCUACCCAGAGAAAGCGGCUGAACACAUCGAUAACCAUCAACAGAUAUUUCACACCCGAGUUAUGUUUGGCAAGUGACGCCAUGUCUAAUAAAUCGGUGUCGUAUUGUUCGAAAGGUUC